GUUUCUCAGAGGCCAAGUAAAAGCUGGCUGAAGCAUAGCCCGAGGUCUUCACACAAACCUGACAAACCUCAAUAACCUGUUUUGCAUCUUCCACUACAGAAGCAGCUCGGGUGGCACCCAAGUUGGGAAACUUGAGCAGCAACUGGCUCUCUGCUGAAGCUUUUACUUGCAGCAACGAGAUGGACAAGGGCUGGUGACUAAGACACAUUAACCAGGUGGAACUUGAACAUCAGCACAGGAGAAGUUCUCAGGCUGCUAGAGGAACAUGAGCUGUCGUGAACUCAAUGACUUGAAAACUCAAAUACAGGCCCAGCUCUCCUCAGCUCCUCUGCAGAAACCUUCUCCCUCCACUGUCAUCUGGCUGCAGACAGACAUGCCUGUACAAGCACACUUUGUAGAGGCUAAUUACAGCUAAUGAGAUGGGCACACAGUCUCUUCGGUUGCAUGGGUGUAAGCACAGAGCAGCAUCAGUGAGCUCCAGCACCACUGGCAAAUGCUUUCCCCAAACACUCUGUGGGUAGAACAGCCUGUGAACGUUUCCCCUUUCUGCAGAAACAGGGAACAGAAGCAGAGCAAGCACCAUGAGGAACUGAACUAAUUCAAGCACAGAGCAAGGGGUGACGUUCCAGACAGCUGAGCGUGUUCCCAGCGACACUGAAACAUCCGACUGCUCA
This is a long non-coding RNA of Pseudopipra pipra, 674 nucleotides long. RefSeq lists it as uncharacterized. Lineage: Eukaryota; Metazoa; Chordata; Aves; Passeriformes; Pipridae. The record is from RefSeq and is a predicted model, not a curated record. The transcript has 2 exons.